RNAcentral lists this ribosomal RNA (421 nucleotides) under uncultured bacterium. Its description in RNAcentral is "bacterial SSU rRNA". It matches the Rfam family "Bacterial small subunit ribosomal RNA", at positions 87 to 518 of the family's 1533-position model. The record is from RNAcentral.
AAGCUUAGGUGGCGGACGGGUGAGUAACGCGUGAGGAACCUGCCCUUCAGUGGGGAACAACAACUAGAAAUGGUUGCUAAUACCGCAUAAUGUCGGAGAGCCGCAUGACUUUCCGACCAAAGGAUUUAUUCGCUGAAGGAUGGCCUCGCGUCCGAUUAGGCAGUUGGUGAGGUAACGGCCCACCAAACCUACGAUCGGUAGCCGAACUGAGAGGUUGAUCGGCCACAUUGGGACUGAGACACGGCCCAGACUCCUACGGGAGGCAGCAGGUGGGGAAUAUUGGGCAAUGGGCGAAAAACGCCUGACCCAGCAACGCCGCGUGAAGGAUGACGGUCUUCGGAUUGUAAACUUCUUUAAUUGGGGAAGAACAAAAUGACCUACCCAAAGAAUAAGUCACGGCUAACUACGUGCCAGCCGCCGC